GAUAUGCACACCCCAAAGUAACUUAUGAUCACUGUCCUCUUGAUAGUAACUGAGUAGACAGGAUCUCACCAUGGGGUGGAGCAGGAUCAUUCUCUUCCUGGUUGCAGCAGCUACAGGUGUCCACUCCCAGGUGCAACUGCAGCAGUCUGGGGCUGAGGUGGGAAGACCUGGGUCCUCAGUGAAGUUGUCCUGCAAGGCUUCUGGCUACAGUUUUACCAGCUACAAUAUGCACUGGGUAAAGCAGAGGCCUGGACAGGGCCUGGAUUGGAUUGGAUAUAUUUAUCCUGGAAAUGGUGGUACUGCCUACAAUCAGAAGUUCCAGGGCAAGGCCACACUGACUGCAGACAAAUCCUCCAGCACAGCCUACAUGGAGCUCAGCAGCCUGUCAUCGGAGGACACUGCCAUCUAUUACUGUGCGAGAGACACAGUGUUGCAACCACAUCCUGGGUGUGUCAGAAACUCUGGAGGAGCAGGAAGCUGCCCUGCGA
Molecule: non-coding RNA, 488 nt
Organism: Acomys russatus (golden spiny mouse)
Lineage: Eukaryota; Metazoa; Chordata; Mammalia; Rodentia; Muridae
Source: the annotation of a RefSeq genome assembly